This 288-nucleotide ribosomal RNA is filed under the name uncultured bacterium. Its description in RNAcentral is "partial 16S ribosomal RNA". It matches the Rfam family "Bacterial small subunit ribosomal RNA", at positions 216 to 507 of the family's 1533-position model. The record is from RNAcentral.
CGGCCAGGGAUGUGCUCGCGGCCUAUCAGCUUGUUGGUGGGGUAAUGGCCUACCAAGGCUUCGACGGGUAGCCGGCCUGAGAGGGUGACCGGCCACACUGGGACUGAGACACGGCCCAGGCUCCUACGGGAGGCAGCAGUGGGGAAUAUUGGACAAUGGGCGGAAGCCUGAUCCAGCAACGCCGCGUGAGGGAUGACGGCCUUCGGGUUGUAAACCUCUUUCAGUACCGACGAAGCGCCGAUGAUGGUGGUGACGGUAGGUACAGAAGAAGCACCGGCCAACUACGUG